This 516-nucleotide ribosomal RNA is filed under the name uncultured bacterium. RNAcentral's name for it is "bacterial SSU rRNA". It matches the Rfam family "Bacterial small subunit ribosomal RNA", at positions 494 to 1009 of the family's 1533-position model. The record is from RNAcentral.
CGCCCUACUACGUGCCAGCAGCCGCGGUAAUACGUAGGUGGCAAGCGUUGUCCGGAAUUAUUGGGCGUAAAGCGCGCGCAGGCGGAUCAGUCAGUCUGUCUUAAAAGUUCGGGGCUUAACCCCGUGAUGGGAUGGAAACUGCUGAUCUAGAGUAUCGGAGAGGAAAGUGGAAUUCCUAGUGUAGCGGUGAAAUGCGUAGAUAUUAGGAAGAACACCAGUGGCGAAGGCGACUUUCUGGACGAAAACUGACGCUGAGGCGCGAAAGCCAGGGGAGCGAACGGGAUUAGAUACCCCGGUAGUCCUGGCCGUAAACGAUGGGUACUAGGUGUAGGAGGUAUCGACCCCUUCUGUGCCGGAGUUAACGCAAUAAGUACCCCGCCUGGGGAGUACGACCGCAAGGUUGAAACUCAAAGGAAUUGACGGGGGCCCGCACAAGCGGUGGAGUAUGUGGUUUAAUUCGACGCAACGCGAAGAACCUUACCAGGUCUUGACAUUGAUGGACAGAACUAGAGAUAG